RNAcentral lists this ribosomal RNA (774 nucleotides) under uncultured Neocallimastigales. RNAcentral's name for it is "partial large subunit ribosomal RNA". It matches the Rfam family "Eukaryotic large subunit ribosomal RNA", at positions 23 to 640 of the family's 3401-position model. Lineage: Eukaryota; Fungi; Neocallimastigomycota; Neocallimastigomycetes; Neocallimastigales. The record is from RNAcentral.
AGAGAUGUGUGAUGACGCAUAUCAAUAAGCGGAGGAAAAGAAACUAACAAGGAUUCCCUUAGUAACGGCGAGUGAAGCGGGAAGAGCUCAAAUUUGAAAUCUUCAAGGUUCUACCUUGACGAAUUGUAGUUUAUAGAAGUGUUUUCUGUUAGUAGAGUGGCAAAAGUUCUUUGGAAUAGGACAUCAUAGAGGGUGAGAAUCCCGUAUUUGGUCAUUCUUUCUAGCUUUGUGAUACACUUUCAACGAGUCGGAUUGUUUGGGAAUGCAGUCCAAAAUGGGUGGUAAAUUUCAUCUAAAGCUAAAUAUUGGCGAGAGACCGAUAGCGAACAAGUACCGUGAGGGAAAGAUGAAAAGAACUUUGAAAAGAGAGUUAAACAGUACGUGAAAUUGUCAAAAGGGAAGCGUUUGACACCAGUGUUGUUUUUCCGAAAAUCAAUUACGAAUGUUUUGUUUUUAAGAAGUUAUGACUUCAUCGGCUUGCUUCUUUCUUUACGAAACUUUCUUAAUGCACUUUUCGGUUAACAAGUCAACAUCAAUUUCUUUUGUUGUAAAAGAGUAUUGGGAAGGUGGCUUUCUUUUCGGAGAAAGUGUUUAUAGCCCUUUACUUCUGCAAUCGGAGAGAUUGAGGUCUGCAGCGUAGAUCCUUCGGGGUUAGAUACAUUUGUGCUAAGUUAUAGCUUUUCAUAGACAACUUGUUGAUUAUGAUUAGUCUUGUAGCUUACUCGCUUAUGCUAUUUUACCUACGCUUAGGAUGUUGACAGCAGUAUAGACUGU